GUGGUGCAUGGCUGUCGUCAGCUCGUUUCGUGAGAUGUUGGGUUAAGUCCCGAAAUGAGCGCAACCCUCAUCCUUAGUUGCCAUCAGGUAAUGCUGAGUACUUUAAGGAAACUGCCAGUGAUAAGCUGGAGGAAGGUGGGGAUGAUGUCAAGUCAUCAUGGCCUUUAUGGAGUGGGCUACACACGUGCUACAAUGGUGUCUACAAUGGGUUGCAAGGUGCGCAAGCCUAAGCUAAACCCUAAAAGACAUCUCAGUUCGGAUUGUACUCUGCAACUCGAGUACAUGAAGUUGGAAUCGCUAGUAAUCGUAGAUCAGCACGCCACGGUGAAUACGUUCUCGGGUCUUG
RNAcentral lists this ribosomal RNA (346 nucleotides) under Wolbachia endosymbiont of Bactrocera peninsularis. Its description in RNAcentral is "bacterial SSU rRNA". It matches the Rfam family "Bacterial small subunit ribosomal RNA", at positions 1038 to 1383 of the family's 1533-position model. The record is from RNAcentral. Lineage: Bacteria; Pseudomonadati; Pseudomonadota; Alphaproteobacteria; Rickettsiales; Anaplasmataceae.